RNAcentral lists this ribosomal RNA (266 nucleotides) under uncultured bacterium. RNAcentral's name for it is "partial 16S ribosomal RNA". It matches the Rfam family "Bacterial small subunit ribosomal RNA", at positions 337 to 620 of the family's 1533-position model. The record is from RNAcentral.
UCCUACGGGAGGCAGCAGUGGGGAAUAUUGCACAAUGGGGGGAACCCUGAUGCAGCGACGCCGCGUGAGUGAAGAAGUAUUUCGGUAUGUAAAGCUCUAUCAGCAGGGAAGAAAAUGACGGUACCUGACUAAGAAGCCCCGGCUAACUACGUGCCAGCAGCCGCGGUAAUACGUAGGGGGCGAGCGUUAUCCGGAUUUACUGGGUGUAAAGGGAGCGCAGACGGCUGUGCAAGUCUGGAGUGAAAGGCGGGGGCUCAACCCCCGGA